CCUACGGGCGGCAGCAGUGGGGAAUAUUGGACAAUGGGGGCAACCCUGAUCCAGCCAUGCCGCGUGUGUGAAGAAGGCCCUCGGGUUGUAAAGCACUUUCAGUGAGGAAGAACGCCUGGUGGUUAAUACCCAUCAGGAAAGACAUCACUCACAGAAGAAGCACCGGCUAACUCCGUGCCAGCAGCCGCGGUAAUACGGAGGGUGUGAGCGUUAAUCGGAAUUACUGGGCGUAAAGCGCGCGUAGGUGGCUUGAUAAGCCGGUUGUGAAAGCCCCGGGCUCAACCUGGGAACGGCAUCCGGAACUGUCAAGCUAGAGUGCAGGAGAGGAAGGUAGAAUUCCCGGUGUAGCGGUGAAAUGCGUAGAGAUCGGGAGGAAUACCAGUGGCGAAGGCGGCCUUCUGGACUGACACUGACACUGAGGUGCGAAAGCGUGGGUAGCAAACAGGAUUAGAUACCCCUGUAGUC
RNAcentral lists this ribosomal RNA (465 nucleotides) under Vreelandella stevensii. RNAcentral's name for it is "partial 16S ribosomal RNA". It matches the Rfam family "Bacterial small subunit ribosomal RNA", at positions 338 to 795 of the family's 1533-position model. The record is from RNAcentral. Lineage: Bacteria; Pseudomonadati; Pseudomonadota; Gammaproteobacteria; Oceanospirillales; Halomonadaceae.